RNAcentral lists this unclassified non-coding RNA (351 nucleotides) under Hevea brasiliensis (rubber tree). The record is from RNAcentral. Lineage: Eukaryota; Viridiplantae; Streptophyta; Magnoliopsida; Malpighiales; Euphorbiaceae.
AGUAAACCUCUCCGAUUUCUUCCUCGCCAAUUUCUCCGCCAGCCAACUGGCAGCUAAACUCUUCUCCUCAUUAAUCUCUACUUGUAUCCGAUCCUCUAUUACUUCACUCUCACUUUCGAUAGUACUAUUCAAUUUCUCAUUCUCCAGCACAAAACAAACCGCCAAUCUCGGCUUUCUUCUAGACAGCAAAAUUGCGCCAAAAUUGCGAGUUAACGGAGAGAAGAACAGAACCGGCGGGGCGGUUGAGGCGGAUUUUGGACUGAGAAACGGGUUAUGACGGAGGCGAAUGGUUCGGGAACUAGCGGAGGCUGAAAUUCCGGCCGCCAUGGACGGUGGAGGAUCCAAAUUCAG